AAUCGCUUGAACCCAGGAGGCGGAGGUUUUAGUGAGCCAAGAUCACAUCCCUGCACUCCAGCCUGGGUGACAGUGCACGACUCUGUCUUAAGAACAACAACAAAAAAACAAAAACACUCAUGACACCUAAAUAAACAGUUUAAAACCAACUAUUAUUUUAAAAUCACUCUGCUUUUAAAGACAUCUCAGUGGAAGUAAACCUCUUUCAAUUGAUGGCAUCAUUUGCUAAACUCUGGAUGAAUGUUUUCUCUCUGCUUGGCCAAGCUCCUGGGUGUCGAAGGGCAGAUGGGUUGAUGAGAUUGCGUUUGGCACACGUUAUCUCCCACAUGCACAGCCCGAGGGUGUUUGCUUACACGGAGGCCCUCCAUUCCCUUGCGGAGCAGGGAAGAUGGUCAGAGCGGGACCAGCUCCCUGGGAGAACGGCCUGCAGUGCCAUCCACAGCAACCUUUCUGGAUUUUUUGUCAACUUCAUCCUCAUUUUCUGCAGAACACAAAAGUAUCCAGAGUUCCGCUGGAAAACAGCUGGGGACAGGCUUCCUCCUCUCUGUCCACACCACACUCUCUAGCAGGCUCACCAUGAGAUGGCUUUGCCAUGGUGCAGGUGGAGGGUGGAGGAGUCCUGUGCCCAGGUCGCCAUGGUCCUGAACCAGAACUGUCUAACGGGUAGGAACCAGAAUAAUGUUCCCCCUGGAUUUCUGUUUUUCUGUUAUAACUAGACAUGCAAGGCAGAGAGCCCUUGACACAACCGUGUGUGCACGUGGGUCCAGUCCUGACAAAUGCGUGGCCCUGUCGCCAGCUGCUGGUGCUGGGUGGAGGGCUGUGAGCCUCCUCUUUUAUUCUGGCCGGAGAGAAAGCACUUUCACCUGCACACACAUGUGGGGUCACUGCUUUAUCGUGAAGCAGAGUGACCCCUUGUUCCCAUUACUCUGAAGGAGCAAAAAUGUGUCUCUGGAAACCCUCAGAAGGUUUUCUCCAGAGUCAUCCAUGCUCAUGGGGUACAACUGAUGAAGCCUCAUGAGUGACGCCUGAGCGACCUGAACGGGGGCAAGAGGGUGAGACCCAGCACAACCCUCCGAGCCCUACAACCGUGGGGUGUCAGAAGCUUGAUUCUGUCACCUCGUUCUGGGGAUCAGCCUCUACGUCUGUGUUUCCCUGGUGUGAGUGAUUUGUGCACUGUCUGGGUCAGGUCCUAGUACUUGUUUUUGACUCACAGGUUUGCUUUACUCCACCUGCAGCACUUCAUCCAUGAGGUCGUCCGUGGGCUUGAUGGUUUUGGUCACCGUUGAAGUAAAUAUGUAGCUGUAAAAACACAACGCACAUGCGUAGGCUGCCUAAAGCUUCUUGGGAAGCCAGGGCCAGGUCACCCCAGUGUGGGACAAAUCAUCACCUGCUCUGUAAGCCCAAGAUUUCUGGUCCUCUGCAGGCACUGGGGGAAAUGGCCUCUGGGUGAGAACCCGUGAGUGGAGCGUGGAGGGCUCUGGGGUCGGCAGCAUAAGGGCCCCCUGCGAAGGCGUCCACACCGGAGCCCAGAACCCGCCUUUGGAAGCACAUGCAGGUCUCCUGCAGGUUUAGUCUGAUGGAUGGUGCUGUGUCUUCCCAAAAACCGGGAGACAUCAGCUAAAUUUAGGCCAGACUCUUAAGAGAGUUUUUCUACAAGACCAUGGCAGUGCGAGUGAUCAGCCUGCUCUGGCCAAGUGGCCAGGGUGCACAUCGCUGCAGCUGCUGUGUGGGUGACCUGCCACCAUCUGUCCAAAUGCCAAGUGCACUUGCUGGGAUCCUGCACUCCUACAGCCUACUCAUGCACAGAGACAGGUGCAAGAGUGCAGAAACGGGCAGCCUUCAAGUUCAAGGCAGUCUGUUAGCACCGUGGCCCUGGCCCCUGUGUCUUCAGACCGGCUAAGUCCACCAUGGUUCCCUGGGAGCCAGAGCAUUUCUGCUGCCCAGAGCCAGGGUGGCUCCAGUGUAUGGCUGAGGCGGCAGCCCCCAGGUGCACCAGGUGUGAGUCAGGACCGGCAGGUGCCCUGUGUGUGGGCUUUCGCACCCUGUGUGGGGGGGUGCCCAUGUCCCGUGUGUAGUGAGCCCGUGUCCUGUGUGUGGGUGCCCAUGUCCUGUGUGUGGGUGCCCGUGUCCUGUGUGUGGGUGCCCAUGUCCUGUGUGUGAGUGCCCGUGUCCUGUGUGUUUGAGUGCCCAAUGCAAUAUGUGUGAAAACUUGUGUGCUUGCUUUGCUCCCAGCAGAGGGAGGCUCCCUCUGCGCCAUCUGCUUUGCCCGUGCGUUUCUCCGGUGCUGCUUUCUAUGAACACGGCCGGGGACUGACACUGGUUAUCCACUCCCAGGGCCUGGGGUUCUGCUGAGUUGUGGAUAAAAUCAUUGAUUGGAAAACUCACCAUCAACUGCUGGGGCUUCCAGGGAAGCUAGGGAAGCCCGUAGUACUCCCGUGCAUCUGCAGACCCAAUGCCAUUUCCAGCUGCCCUGACUCAGAGGUUGGCAGUGUGUGGCGGGCGCUGCCCCGACUGAGAGGUUGGCAGUGUGUGGUGGGCACCAGUUGUGGCAGGGCGAGGGCAGGAGCCACUGAGGAGACCAUGGGCUUUCCAUGCAGGAGAAUCCACCAGUUCCCGGCAGUGAGAUUUGCCCCUGAGGAACCCAACUACAUGCAGGGCCCGAGCUCCCGGCCUCCUGGAUCCACCUGCUAUGAGAUCGUCCCACCCAGCGCCUGCCCCUCCUGGCCUGCAGGGGCCUUUCUCUCAGCCCUUUCCCUCCUCAUAGGCAGGGGAAGAGUCGCAGGCAGGGAGGACAUGGUGGCUGGGCCCACUGGAUAUGCAGGGGUGUCCACAUGAAAAUGGCGCGUGGUCUGGUCAGCCACACCCGUGAGACCCGGAGCUCUGCGAAGGCCGUCACGGCUUAUUACGGCGCCCCAACAGUGAAGGCGGCCGGAAGCUGUUCCCUGAUGAAAGAAAGGAAGAAGAAAGGAGGAGGGAGGGAAGAAGGCCUUUCUUGUCCCAAGAGACUUCUGUAGGAAUUUUUGGGUGAUACUGAGCAUGGUAGACCCAGGUCCUCUUUCCAUGAGAGAGAGCCAGAGUACAGCGGGCUCAGCCGUGGUCAGGGGCUCAGGGCGCUGGGGAAGCAUUCGCGUGGGCUGCCCCCAGGAGCCGCCUUUGCCACCAAGACCUGCUCUUCCAGCCAGGCCUUGGGCUGGCCCUGCUCUCCCUUCGGACAAGGUCUUCAGUCCACAGAGAGGAUGGCCCACCUCCUGCCCCUAGGUCAGUGCGCGGCCCCAGGGAGGAGCUGUGUGAACCUGGGAGGUGCUGGAGAGCAAGGGUGCUCUACCAAGGGAGGCAGGUGGCCAGAGACCAGCCCAGCUCAGCCCAGGAGGAGCCUGGCCAGGAGUCCCACCAAAGCCACUGGACCCAGGGCGCCUCCAGUGACCCAGUCUUGGAGGGUCAGCACCGUCUCCAGGAUGGAUUCAGCUUUGCACACAGGUCUUGCUGUCUGUGGGGGCUACAGUCCCCGAUGCCUGGGCAGCAUGGACUGACGGCAACCCUUGGGUUGGGAGGCCCCAGAUGGGACUUCCUGGCCCGCCUGGGGUGGCAGGGGGUGGGGGGAGUGGCAGAGGAUGGAGCGUCUGUGCGCAUGCGUGAGAACCACAAGGAUGGCGUGUCUGUGAAGAUGGCUUCUCGCAGCUGUGGCUGCCUUCUGUGUGUGGGCAGUGGUGGUGGAGCCAUGACUGCACGGGACAGCCUUUGCCAUGUGGUUUUCCCGCCUCUGAUCCCUUGCCUGGGCUGAGGAGUGUUCCUCUGGGGCUCAAGGUGUGGGUUCGGUCCUGCUGUAGACAUCCUGGUGGCCCUGGCACAGACACCUCCUCCAGCGUGGUUCCUAGACCCCCUACGCAGGACCCUUAGGCCCCUGAGGGUCGGCAGGAGUGAGGCAGGCAGUCACUAACUGCCCUUGGGUGAGCCUGGUGGCCAGGGGUGGACCCAACAGGUGCAGGCGAGUCACCCCCAGCAGCCUCCCGACCCCGUGUCUUUCCCACACACAGCACAGCUGGGACAUGGGGGUCAGGCCAUUACUUGUGCUUCUAGUCCUUACAUCACCCACAACUCACCCCUACCCUGUGCCUGGCUGUGGUGCCCGCAGCCUCGACUCCACAUAAACAUAGGCCAGGAAGUCCCAUCUGGAGCCUCCCACCCUGAAGGUUGCCGGCAGUCCGUGCUCCCCAGGCACCAGCCCUGCAGCCCCCCCAGACAGUGAGACCUGGGUAUGAAGUGGAAUCCGCUUGAGGCACAGUGCUGACCCUCCAGGGCUGGGUCACUGGAGUCUCCAGUGGCUCCUGGCCAGGUUUCUCCUGGCCUGGGCCUGGGCUGGUCUCCAGCCUCCUCCCUCCCUUGGUGCAGGACGCUUGCUUCCCAGCUUCCCUGGGAAAUCCGACGCCAUCAGAUCCCCGCACGCAUCCAGCACCCCUGGCACCGGCGGAAUUGCCUUUCUGUGUGUAUAGCCCCUAACAGGGCGGCACAGCCCUUCUGAAACCUCGCACGUCCUCACUGGGGUGGCUGAGGCUGGGCCACUGGGUGUUCACCUCCUGCCCCUGGAACUGUGCACAGGACCUCUCUUCAAAUAGGAGGCAGGUCUUGCCGGCAUGCUGGGGCAGUGGCUGCACCAGCUUAGAACCAGUCUCUGAUUUGAGGGGUGAGAAAAGUAGAGGUGGGGGCUCUACCUGAAUGCUCACCAGCUCAGGGGGUGCGGCUGAGCACUGGACAUCAGACAGACAUCUCUGUGAAGGGUUAGCGAGAAGAAGAUCAUGGAACCAUUAGCAACCGCUUGAAGUUAGGCCCAAACCAGUGGGACCCACUGCAUCCAAACACUUGGGGCCACCUGCCAUCAUCAGGGUGGCCCACCUUUCUUCUGAGCAGGGGAUUCUCUUCCCGCCUGGAGGGAGCAGUUUGGCUACAAAGCUGCCUUUUAGAGUGAGACCCCGUCUCCCCUCCCUGCGUUCCCAGGACUAUGUGAAGAAGAGAAAAUGAGUGGCCCUUCCUUUCUCCUGGGAUCCUGGCUGUGGAGCUGCCCACCGCCCUCCUCCUCCCGCCCUAGGCUACCUGACCCGUGAAGGCCGGCCUGAGACAGACACACCCCAAACACCAAGUACCCUGUUUCCUAGGCCAUUCCAGGGACUGAUGAGUCAACAUGGGCUACGAUUCUAAUGUUUUAAUUUGGAACUCCGCUGUUGAUCUGAUAUUUACAAAGGAAUCCAUGCAUGACAUUAACCUGUCAAAAGAGAAGCCUGCACCCUGCGAGAAUUCCUGCCUGAGAUACUGUCUUUUUGUGAGUGUAAGUGCAGAGAGAGCCCACACAAACCACAGGACACCAGAGCUGCCGCGCCGCCCCUCCAGGCUGCUGGCACUCGUGCUCACCCUCUCUGGAGGAACCAUCAUUCUGGCCUCGGAUUCUCCUUCCAAAACAUGGAGAAUAGAAUGUCAGGCAAAGAAAGAAACAGCCAGGCACACAUGGAGAGAUGGCAGCGCGAGUGUGAGUGGUGAGAAACCCAGCGAAUGAAAACAUCUACACAAGAACGCAGACACAGCACCCUCAGACACCGGCUGCAGAAAGCACUGGAGACAUUGUCCAUGAGAAGAAAAAGAAAAGGUCACAUUGUCCAUGAGAAGAAAAAGAAAAGGUCAAGAACUUCAGUGGAGAAAUAAAAAUUACACAAAAAGGAAAGACUUGUAUUUAUUUAUUAUUAUUAUUUUUUGCUGAUUGUGUUUUUUCUAUUCUCCCUCCACUUUCUUUCUAGAACUCCAACUUUUCUCACUGCAUUCUCUAUUUUCUCGUUGCACUUUCUAUUUCUAUGCCUAUUUGUAAAUGCAACACAAAAAUGAUUGCCUGGAAAAAAUACAAGCAACAUUUCAGAACUCAAUAAGUGGGUUUAAAAAUAGUUUGGAUGUCACUGAAAAAUAAUGAGUAGCUGGAAAGCAGGUUGGAAGAAAAUUCUCAGAAUGAAGGAUAGAA
Long non-coding RNA from Piliocolobus tephrosceles (Ugandan red Colobus), 5998 nucleotides. RefSeq lists it as uncharacterized. The record is from RefSeq and is a predicted model, not a curated record. NCBI's taxonomy places the organism in Eukaryota, Metazoa, Chordata, Mammalia, Primates, Cercopithecidae. The transcript has 2 exons.